GUCUUUUUGAUUUUAAUUUAAGGUUUAACCUGCCCAUUGAAAUUUUUUAAAAGGCUGCGGUAUUUUGACCGUACAAAGGUAGCAUAAUCAUUAGUUUUUUAAUUGUAAACUUGUAUGAAUGGUUGAAUGAGAAAUUAACUUUUUUAAAAAAAUAAUUGAAUUUUACUUUUUAAUUAAAAGGUUAAAAUAAAUUUAAAAGACGAGAAGACCCUAUAGAGUUUUAUAAUUUUUAUUUAAUAUUUAAAAAGAUAAAUUAAAAUUUUAUAAAAAAAAUUAUUUUAUUGGGGUGAUAAUAAAAUUUGAUAAACUUUUAUUUUUUUUUACAUUAAUAUAUGGUUUUUUGAUCCAUUAUUAAUGAUUAAAAAUUUAAAUUACCUUAGGGAUAACAGCGUAAUUUUUUUUUAAAGUUCAUAUUAAUAAAAAAUUUUGCGACCUCGAUGUUGGAUUAAGAUUUAAUUUUAGGUGCAGCAGUUUAAAUUUUAAGUCUGUUCGACUUUUAAAUUCUA
Molecule: ribosomal RNA, 506 nt
Filed under: Pseudolycoriella sp.
Lineage: Eukaryota; Metazoa; Arthropoda; Insecta; Diptera; Sciaridae
Description: partial large subunit ribosomal RNA
Source: RNAcentral